AACGAACGCUGGCGGCAUGCCUAACACAUGCAAGUCGAACGAACCCUUCGGGGUUAGUGGCGCACGGGUGCGUAACGCGUGGGGAUCUGCCCAAAGGUUCGGAAUAACUCAGAGAAAUUUGAGCUAAUACCGGAUGAUGUCUUCGGACCAAAGAUUUAUUGCCUUUGGAUGAACCCGCGUAGGAUUAGCUUGUUGGUGGGGUAAAGGCCUACCAAGGCGACGAUCCUUAGCUGGUCUGAGAGGAUGAUCAGCCACACUGGGACUGAGACACGGCCCAGACUCCUACGGGAGGCAGCAGUGGGGAAUAUUGGACAAUGGGCGAAAGCCUGAUCCAGCAAUGCCGCGUGAGUGAUGAAGGCCUUAGGGUUGUAAAGCUCUUUUACCAGGGAUGAUAAUGACAGUACCUGGAGAAUAAGCUCCGGCUAACUCCGUG
Molecule: ribosomal RNA, 433 nt
Filed under: uncultured bacterium
Lineage: Bacteria
Description: bacterial SSU rRNA
Rfam family: Bacterial small subunit ribosomal RNA
Source: RNAcentral